ACAGUAUUCAAAGAACGCGAUGCCCCAGCUCACCAUGAUGACCAGCGGCAGCGAGUGUUCCUUGUAUUUCAGAUGCCCGUACCAGGCGAAGGUCAUGAAGACAUUGGACAUGAGAAGCAGGAUGAACGGCUGCAGUGCAGGAGAAAUGGUGAUCGGCAUGGGCUUCCUUUCGGGGCGGCAAUUUACCGGGUUCUCGCCCGUGACAUUGAAGGCAACAAGACCGGAAUGUGGCCCCGCAAAGGGGAAGCGCCCA
This 253-nucleotide unclassified non-coding RNA is filed under the name Hevea brasiliensis (rubber tree). The record is from RNAcentral. Lineage: Eukaryota; Viridiplantae; Streptophyta; Magnoliopsida; Malpighiales; Euphorbiaceae.